AAGUGUUGAUGGCAAGUUAAGUAGAAUGAGGUAAAUGAAAUGAGCACUAGAUUUUGAAAUGUGGAGGUCAUUGACACAUGAUGAGAGCAGUUUUAGUAGCAUUGGGAGAAAGCCUAUUGGAGUGGGUUCAACAAGUAAUCAGAGGAGAAGAACUGUAGACAGUGGAUAGAAAUGAUGUUAUGGGAGACUCAGAGAAAAUUAUUUGCAGCAAUGUCCUUGAGAAGGCAAGAUUGCCUCAAGUCUAGUGUCCAAUGAAGAGAUGGCUCAGGGAGGGAUUAACAGAUCCUCUAACACUGGUGAGAGCAGAGGACAUGGGAGUAGAUGUAGGUGUGAUGGUAGAUAUGGUGGCAGGUGGUUUUGCAAGUUCUCUUCUCACUGAUUAAAUUUGCUCAGAAUAAUAAUAAAGCAGGUUAUAAGAUAAGAGUAAAGAAGGAGUUGACAGCAUUUGGAGGUUUGCAGAGAAAGAAGUUGUGAAGUACUAAGUUACAAUAUGUUCCAGUGCCUCUCAUUGUCUCUGAGCCAAGAGACCUGAUGUGACCUACUUUGCUCAGCCGGGUGGUGUUGUAGACAGACAGAAGAGCCAGCACAUUCUGCAGGAAGCAGAGGAUGAGGAGCCUGCUGAUCUGACUGGCCGAUGUCACAAUGCACAGAAAAGGCCAACCUUUCACAGAAUUCCAGCAUUCGAGGGAACUUUCUAACACAUUGCCAAUGUU
Molecule: long non-coding RNA, 713 nt
Organism: Eptesicus fuscus (big brown bat)
Lineage: Eukaryota; Metazoa; Chordata; Mammalia; Chiroptera; Vespertilionidae
Exons: 3
Source: RefSeq, a predicted model, not a curated record